Molecule: long non-coding RNA, 249 nt
Organism: Acanthaster planci (crown-of-thorns starfish)
Lineage: Eukaryota; Metazoa; Echinodermata; Asteroidea; Valvatida; Acanthasteridae
Source: RefSeq, a predicted model, not a curated record
GUCCCUGAGAGGCGUCAGCAUCGGUUGCAUUGAGGCAAAUGCUUUCAGUAGGCUCUACAAUCUCCAAAUGCUGUGCCAACUUAGCCUACCCACUGAAUUUCUGCCCGCAUCAUAAGUUAAUCAUACUGGUCCUGGUUGUGCCAGCAUCAAUUACACCAUCCCCUAACUCGGUGGCUCAGAUGGACAUGAACGAUGUACGAAGGGGCGCCACAAUGUUGAGGACACAACAGCUUCUGACAGCAGACUGCA